UUUAACCUCAUUUGUAAUCAAGAAAAUACAUAUUCAAAUAGGAUAUAAUUUUUUACCUAUUACAUUGGAAAAGAUUUAAAAGUUUAAUAAGGUACUGUGUUCAGAGGAUGUGGAAAACCAUCUUUUUUUACACUUAGAUUGGGAGGGUAAAUUGCUAUAACCUCUUUAGAGAGUGACUUAGCUCCUUUUCUAGAAAUUUAUCCUACCAGUAUACUAACAGUUGACUUAAAAACACAGGUAAAGGGAUGUUUAUUAAAGCAUUGUUGAAGCAAAUGACCAUGACGGAUGAAAUGAAUUAAUUGAUACAUCCAUAAAGAUGCAUCCAGACAGUUACUGAUACUGCCACACAUAGGCAGUUACUAAUGAUUUGAAUAGGACUUGUCCCCUAUAAAACUCAUGUUGCAAUUUGAUUCCCAAUGUAAUGAUGUUGAAAAGUCAUGGGACCUUUAUGAAGUGUUUGGGUCAUGAGGGCUUUGCCUUCAUGAAGGGAUUAAUGCUGCUCUCAUGGGACUGGGUUAGUUCUCCAGGGGGUCAGUGAGUUCUUGCUCUAAUGGGACUGAAUUAGUUACCAGGGGGUCAGUGAGUUCUUGCUCUAACGGGACUGAAUUAGUUACCACGAGAGUGGAUUGCUAUAAAGCAAGGCCACCCCUCAUGUUUUGUCUUUUUUGCACACUCUUGCUCUCUCGCCAUGUGAUGCCCUUUGCCAAGUUAUGAUGCACUACAAAGCCCUUACCAGAAGCUGUCAUCAUGCCCUUGGACUUCCCAGUCUCCAGAACUGUGAACCAAAUCAACUUCCUUUAUGAAUUACCCAGUCCCAGGCAUUGUGUUAUAACAACAGAAAACAGGCCAAGACAGCAGUUAAAGAAUGGUAUGGCAUGAGUGUUUAUUGUCUCGGUUUGACCUGAGGUAGAAAUAUAAUUAAUAUGAAAUCUCAAAUCGGUUUAAGAUGGAUCCUAUGUGCCAAUUGACAAAUGAAAUAUCCUUGAGAACUGGUUACAAGCAUCUAGAAGGUUUAAGGAUAUUAACAGUGUCAGAGCAUGGGAAGAGGGAUUAAAAGAUUUCUUUGGAAAAAAUCUGUGCUGUGAACUCCAUCCCUUCUACCCCAAGGGGAUAUAUCCUGUGAUCCCGAAUAUAAUGAGGUAGAUCUUCAGUGAGAGCAUCUGAGAGCUUGGUAAGUGACCAGUUAGGUGGUCUGGGGUGUAACCCUCCCAAAUCUAGAGGGCUAGAGAUGGGCCAACUAGUUGCUUUGCUGGUAGAGCCACAAGAGUGCUAGUUAACAGACUGUACUCCCACAGUUUUUUAUUUGGGAGGAGGUAAGGGUUUGAUGAGGGUUUUCUGUAGACUAGAUGGAUGUGUGGCAGAUGGGAGAAAAAUCUAGGCUGAACUGUAUUAAGUCCAACUCAAGAGGACCACCUGGGAGAUGAGAAAGAAGUCUUCAACUAUGAAAAAUGUGUGGGUGCAUCACCAUGACCCAGGGCCGAGUGGGAUGCAGCUAGGCUAAGGAGCAGAAUAUGUCACCUCUUCAGGAGACUUGAAGCUGGGUCACAGAGCUGGGUCUCCCAGAAGUGCCCAAGAAAGCUCUAGAAGGUAAAAUGCCAGCUUCAGUCAUCUGCUAGUUCCAGAGAAGCCACCAGCUAAGGAAGAACUGUCCUACCUCCUUACUUCUCAAACCCUUGCUUCAACCUUGGUAGCAAGGUCUGAAAUAGCAGCUGUCAAUGGGGGUAAACAGCCUCCCCAGUUGGGUUUGUGAGAUGUUUUAAGGGAUAGGGGCAGUGAUAGUUUUAAGGGGCUAAACUUUCAGAAGCCGAGUGUUUAUUCCUAAAGUUCAUUUGUUUGAGAAAUUUGCCCACAGCUGAGUGCCAAUGCUGGUCCUUCUUUUCUUACCUACCCUUUCGAGCUCAGCUUCCAAUUUACAAAAGAAAGCCAUGUGUUCUGAAUCUCACUAUCAUGCACUGACCCCUGGGCAACAAGCAGGGAUUUUUGAAAAACUGGUGUCAACCUUGAGUAAAUGAAUGACCCCCCAAACCCAGUAACAAUCCUUUUGCAAAUCUCAUGGUUUAAUAAAAUUGAAGGAGGAUCUAUCCUGCCAGAUGAGGCCCUUUAUGGUUGCCACUGGCUUUGCAAGCAUGACUUAAGAAGUAGACUUUAUUGAGUAAAGGAAAACCCCCCAGGUCAAGGGGGGUUUUAAACAAGACAAGGAUCUUCAGUGUUCCUCAUUCUACUCAUCUUUCCAUGUGAGUUGUUUCUAGGGCCAGGGCUUCUGCUGGACACUUUUAUUUAUUUUUUUUUUUCUAGUAAAGUGAGCCAUUCCUAGAAGUGGCCUCCAUGGGAGGAAGUGGCAUCAGGCAGUCUUGAUUUGGAGUGCCAGCUGUUUUCAGAAGUUGCCUAGGAAAGUUAGCUGUCUGACCCCUGGGGGCUUUAGGGACAUCUGGAGCAACAGACUCUCUCUUUGACCUAACACUAAUUGGGCUCUUUUAAGCCCUGAAGACCCAGACCUUGGGCUCCGUCCUUGGCUUGCUUAUUCUGCUUUCAGAAAGAAUCCUGGUGAGUUAGUGUCAUUAGAAUCCCCCACCCUUGGUAUCUGACCACCCUUGAUAUCUGAUGAAAUUCCUCAACCCCUCUCCCUCAGUAUCUUACUAUCCUGGCUGCCUUCAGCUAGAAGCUGAAACAGUUUAGAAUCCAUCUUAUUGCUGAUGUUCCCUUUUAGUAAUUUCCAUCCACUGACCCCACCCUGCACCUUGGCCAUAAUUUCCCACUUGUCUUUGUAUUCAGAAGGGAGCCCAUUAUAAACUGAGGUCUCUCUUUCCCUACUGCAAUAGCUCCUGAAUAAAAUUUAUCUUCACUGCUUUAACUUCUGUCUGGCUCUGGUUUUCUUUGACAGGAGUCUGCAGGAUGUUAAAGGCCCCUCACCUGGGAGGAAACCAUUGGUAUCAUGGGAAGUUGGACUUAAAGGUACUCAUCAUGAUGGGAGAAGGGAGAGCCCCCACGACCCAGCGAGGCUGUAGUUCAGGAAGUGUCAACUGAAGAAAGACAAAGUUCAUAAAUGUGGGAAGGAAAGCUUUGUGUCUCAUAAAGGGUUGCAGCCUGCAGGAUGGCCAUUCUGACAGACUGGGAAGCACAGCCUCCAGUAAGAAGCCAGAAACAGACACUUCAAGGUAAAGAUGGAAUAACAGAAACUGGAUUGAUCCUCCUGCUGAAACAACGAAAAAAUAGACAAAACAUGUGAAACUGUAACUGCUCAAUGGACUCUUCCUGCCCACUGCACAAACAAAAUCAAUUCCUGGAGACCAUGGCAUUGCAGUAAAGAAAGAGUUUAAUUGAUGUAAGGCUGGCCACAUCACACAGGAGACAGAGUUAUUACUCAAGUCAAUCUUGCUGAAGGCUCACAGGUUCAGGGUUUUUCAAAGGUAGUUUGGGGAAAGGAGUAGGAAUGCUCAUUGGUGAUUGGUUGGAGGUGCAAUCAAAAGGGUGUGGGAAAUGAUUCUCCUGAGUGCUGAGUCACUUCUGGGUGGGGUCACAGGAGUGGUUGGUGGGUCCAGGCAGAGCCAUCCAUUAUUGGACAUGCAAAAAAACUGAGAAGAUAUCUCAAAAGGCCAAUCUUAGGUUCUAUAAUAUUAAUGUUAUCUGCAGGAAUAAUUGGGGAAGUUGCAUAUCUUGUGACCUCCAGAAUAAUGGCUGUCAA
Non-coding RNA from Macaca mulatta (Rhesus monkey), 3682 nucleotides. NCBI's taxonomy places the organism in Eukaryota, Metazoa, Chordata, Mammalia, Primates, Cercopithecidae. The record is from RefSeq and is a predicted model, not a curated record.